This 406-nucleotide ribosomal RNA is filed under the name uncultured bacterium. RNAcentral describes it as "partial 16S ribosomal RNA". It matches the Rfam family "Bacterial small subunit ribosomal RNA", at positions 30 to 526 of the family's 1533-position model. The record is from RNAcentral.
AUUGAACGCUGGCGGCAGGCCUAACACAUGCAAGUCGAACGAGUGGCAGACGGGUGAGUAAUGUCUGGGAAACUGCCUGAUGGAGGGGGAUAACUACUGGAAACGGUAGCUAAUACCGCAUACCAUCAGAUGUGCCCAGAUGGGAUUAGCUAUGUGGUGGGGUAACGGCUCACCAAGGCGACGAUCCCUAGCUGGUCUGAGAGGAUGACCAGCAACACUGGAACGGAGACACGGUCCAGAUGCCUACGGUGGGCAGCAUUGGGGAAUAUUGCAAAAUGGGCGCAAGCUGGACGCAGCCAGGCCGCGUGUAUGAAGAAGGCCUUCGGGUUGUAAAGUACGUUCAGCGGGGAGGCGUUACCCGCAGAAGAAGCACCGGCUAACUCCGUGCCAGCAGCCGCGGUAAUUC